CAAUGAACUGCCACAUGUUAUGCUCCACGCCUUUCCCCAGGCUCCGCGCGCGUUGUUCCUUAGUUGCUAACCAUGGUUAUUAGAUAACCUUUUUUAACACCUACAGUAAAAUAAGCAAAGGGUGGGAGGCCUACAGUUAACCAAAUAUUUGCAAUUACUUGGAUUCAGUUUGACCUGACAAACCAAAAUGAUAUCUGUAUCCAAAAAUCUGUUUCGGAAAACGUAGGAAAUGCAGUCCUAGGGGUGGAAGAAAAUUUCCAGUGAUGUAACUAGCGGGUGACGGGGGGGGGGGCACGCCAGGAAUGACCAUAAAAAUGUUUGCUUGUACAUUUCCGAGGAAUUGAAUAAUGAAAACAGAAAAGCAGUUAUCAAAAUACAUGAAUUAGCAGUUAGAAUAUAUGUAAUUGCAAAAUAUUCUCACAAUAGGCCUACCUCUAGCUAGCUGAUUCGAGGCAGGUACAGUUCUACUUUACGCGAAAUGCGAAUGCUAUGUUGAACAGGUACUGUAAUGUAAUAUAGUUUAUUUCUAAAAUAAAAACAUAUAACUUUCGCAUGGCGAUUGUGUUGCCAGAAAUACACCCUGUUGUUUAGUGGGAGAUGGGACCAGGGACGGCCAAUUGAUGGG
This is a non-coding RNA of Paramuricea clavata, 625 nucleotides long. The record is from the annotation of a GenBank genome assembly. NCBI's taxonomy places the organism in Eukaryota, Metazoa, Cnidaria, Anthozoa, Malacalcyonacea, Plexauridae.